GCACAAGCGGUGGAGCAUGUGGUUAAUUCGAAGCAACGCGAAGAACCUUACCAGGUCUUGACAUCCCUGACAACCCGAGAGAUCGGGCGUUCCCCUUCGGGGGACAGGGUGACAGGUGGUGCAUGGUUGUCGUCAGCUCGUGUCGUGAGAUGUUGGGUUAAGUCCCGCAACGAGCGCAACCCUCGCCUCUAGUUGCCAGCAUUCGGUUGGGCACUCUAGAGGGACUGCCGGCGACAAGUCGGAGGAAGUGGGAUGACGUCAAAUCAUCAUGCCCCUUAUGACCUGGGCUACACACGUGCUACAAUGGGCGGUACAAAGGGCUGCGAACCCGCGAGGGGGAGCGAAUCCCAAAAAGCCGCUCUCAGUUCGGAUUGCAGGCUGCAACUCGCCUGCAUGAAGCCGGAAUCGCUAGUAAUCGCGGAUCAGCAUGCCGCGGUGAAUACGUUCCCGGGCCUU
Molecule: ribosomal RNA, 456 nt
Filed under: uncultured Geobacillus sp.
Lineage: Bacteria; Bacillati; Bacillota; Bacilli; Caryophanales; Anoxybacillaceae
Description: bacterial SSU rRNA
Rfam family: Bacterial small subunit ribosomal RNA
Source: RNAcentral